Molecule: non-coding RNA, 72 nt
Organism: Candidatus Daviesbacteria bacterium
Lineage: Bacteria; Candidatus Daviesiibacteriota
Source: Rfam
GGGCCGGUAGCUCAGCGGUAGAGCAGGAGACUUUUAAUCUCUUGGUCCUGGGUUCGAUCCCCAGCCGGCUCA